AUACGUAGGGAGCGAGCGUUGUCCGGAAUUACUGGGUGUAAAGGGAGCGUAGGCGGGGGUGCAAGUCAGAUGUGAAAUACAUGGGCUCAACCCAUGGGCUGCAUUUGAAACUGCAUUUCUUGAGUGAAGUAGAGGUAAGCGGAAUUCUUGGCGUAGCGGUGAAAUGCGUAGAUAUCAGGAGGAACACCGGUGGCGAAGGCGGCUUACUGGGCUUUUACUGACGCUGAGGCUUGAAAGCGUGGGGAGCAAACAGGAUUAGAUACCCUGGUAGUCCACGCUGUAAACGAUGAUUACUAGGUGUGGGGGGACUGACCCCUUCCGUGCCGCAGUUAACACAAUAAGUAAUCCACCUGGGGAGUACGGCCGCAAGGUUGAAACUCAAAUGAAUUGACGGGG
This 396-nucleotide ribosomal RNA is filed under the name uncultured bacterium. Its description in RNAcentral is "partial 16S ribosomal RNA". It matches the Rfam family "Bacterial small subunit ribosomal RNA", at positions 523 to 918 of the family's 1533-position model. The record is from RNAcentral.